RNAcentral lists this ribosomal RNA (497 nucleotides) under uncultured bacterium. RNAcentral describes it as "partial 16S ribosomal RNA". It matches the Rfam family "Bacterial small subunit ribosomal RNA", at positions 28 to 507 of the family's 1533-position model. The record is from RNAcentral.
GAUGAACGCUGGCGGCGUGCCUAAUACAUGCAAGUCGAGCGAACAGACGAGGAGCUUGCUCCUCUGACGUUAGCGGCGGACGGGUGAGUAACACGUGGAUAACCUACCUAUAAGACUGGGAUAACUUCGGGAAACCGGAGCUAAUACCGGAUAAUAUAUUGAACCGCAUGGUUCAAUAGUGAAAGACGGUUUUGCUGUCACUUAUAGAUGGAUCCGCGCCGCAUUAGCUAGUUGGUAAGGUAACGGCUUACCAAGGCAACGAUGCGUAGCCGACCUGAGAGGGUGAUCGGCCACACUGGAACUGAGACACGGUCCAGACUCCUACGGGAGGCAGCAGUAGGGAAUCUUCCGCAAUGGGCGAAAGCCUGACGGAGCAACGCCGCGUGAGUGAUGAGGGUCUUCGGAUCGUAAAACUCUGUUAUUAGGGAUGAACAAAUGUGUAAGUAACUAUGCACGUCUUGACGGUACCUAAUCAGAAAGCCACGGCUAACUACGUG